AAGUCGUAACAAGGUUUCCGUAGGUGAACCUGCGGAAGGAUCAUUACCACGUUCCAAACGUAUCAACCCAUCGCGAACCGUUUUCAACCGCUCCCAACAGAGAGAAUGAGUAGGAAUCAGCUGUCACUCGUAUGCGUGCGGAGUCCGUCAGGACUAGCGGGUGCUGACACUUGUGUCGAAAGACACAGACGCUGUAUCUCUCUGGGUGGCUAUUUUCAGACGACUUUGAUCUCCGACAUCGAUCGCGAGUCGUUUGAAGAAACUAUUUCACACUAAUCACCUUUUUUGCUAGUUGACUUUUAUCUGUUGCACUUUGCUUCGGCAUGGCGCACACGUUUAAUUAUUUGAACGUUAAAAAUACAACUCUUAGCAAUGGAUAUCUUGGUUCUC
RNAcentral lists this unclassified non-coding RNA (390 nucleotides) under fungal sp. RNAcentral's name for it is "partial internal transcribed spacer region". The stretch from base 1 to 46 matches the Rfam family "Eukaryotic small subunit ribosomal RNA", at positions 1786 to 1831 of the family's 1831-position model. The record is from RNAcentral. Lineage: Eukaryota; Fungi.